AGGAUGAACGCUGGCGGCGUGCUUAACACAUGCAAGUCGAACGAUGAUCCCAGCUUGCUGGGGGAUUAGUGGCGAACGGGUGAGUAACACGUGAGUAACCUGCCCUUAACUCUGGGAUAAGCCUGGGAAACUGGGUCUAAUACCGGAUAUGACUCCUCAUCGCAUGGUGGGGGUGGAAAGCUUUUUGUGGUUUUGGAUGGACUCGCGGCCUAUCAGCUUGUUGGUGAGGUAAUGGCUCACCAAGGCGACGACGGGUAGCCGGCCUGAGAGGGUGACCGGCCACGACUGGGACUGAGACACGGCCCAGACUCCUACGGGAGGCAGCAGUGGGGAAUAUUGCACAAUGGGCGAAGCCUGAUGCAGCGACGCCGCGUGAGGGAUGACGGCCUUCGGGUUGUAAACCUCUUUCAGUAGGAAGAAGCGAAGUGACGGUACCUGCAGAAGAAGCGCCGGCUAACUACGUGCCAGCAGCCGC
This 475-nucleotide ribosomal RNA is filed under the name uncultured bacterium. RNAcentral's name for it is "SSU rRNA". It matches the Rfam family "Bacterial small subunit ribosomal RNA", at positions 26 to 518 of the family's 1533-position model. The record is from RNAcentral.